Molecule: ribosomal RNA, 253 nt
Filed under: uncultured bacterium
Lineage: Bacteria
Description: partial 16S ribosomal RNA
Rfam family: Bacterial small subunit ribosomal RNA
Source: RNAcentral
UACGUAGGGGGCUAGCGUUGUCCGGAAUCAUUGGGCGUAAAGCGCGUGUAGGCGGCCCGGUAAGUCAGGAGUGAAAGGCCUGGGCUCAACCGAGGAACUGCUUUUGAGACUGCCGAGCUAGAGUGCAGAAGGGGCAACUGGAAUUCCCAGUGUAGCGGUGAAAUGCGUAGAUAUUGGGAAGAACACCUGAGGCGAAGGCGGGUUGCUGGGCUGACACUGACGCUGAGGCGCGAAAGCCAGGGGAGCAAACGGG